Molecule: ribosomal RNA, 758 nt
Filed under: uncultured bacterium
Lineage: Bacteria
Description: bacterial SSU rRNA
Rfam family: Bacterial small subunit ribosomal RNA
Source: RNAcentral
AGAGUUUGAUCCUGGCUCAGAAUCAACGCUGGCGGCGCGCCUAACACAUGCAAGUCGAACGAGAAAGCAGGAGCAAUCUUGUGAGUAAAGUGGCGUACGGGUGAGUAACACGUGGAUUAUCUACCCUCUUGUGGGGGAUAACUCUGGGAAACCGGAGCUAAUACCGCAUAAGCUCGAGAGAGGAAAGCAGCAAUGCGCAGGAGGAGGAGUCCGCGGCCGAUUAGCUAGUUGGUAGGGUAAAAGCCUACCAAGGCUAAGAUCGGUAGCCGGCCUGAGAGGGCACACGGCCACACUGGCACUGAAACACGGGCCAGACUCCUACGGGAGGCAGCAGUGGGGAAUCUUGCACAAUGGGGGCAACCCUGAUGCAGCGACGCCGCGUGAGCGAUGAAGCCCUUCGGGGUGUAAAGCUCUUUCGGCAGGGAAGAUUAUGACGGUACCUGCAGAAGCAGCUGCGGCUAACUACGUGCCAGCAGCCGCGGUAAUACGUAGGCAGCAAGCGUUGUUCGGAGUUACUGGGCGUAAAGGGUGUGUAGGCGGUCCUCUAAGUUUGGUGUGAAAUCUCCCGGCUCAACUGGGAGGGUGCGCCGAAAACUGGGGGGCUAGAGUGCGGGAUGGGAAAGUGGAAUUCCUGGUGUAGCGGUGAAAUGCGUAGAUAUCAGGAGGAACACCUGUGGUGUAGACGGCUUUCUGGACCGCAACUGACGCUGAGACACGAAAGCGUGGGUAGCAAACAGGAUUAGAUACCCUAGUAGUCC